This is a non-coding RNA of Ceratotherium simum simum (southern white rhinoceros), 213 nucleotides long. The record is from RefSeq and is a predicted model, not a curated record. NCBI's taxonomy places the organism in Eukaryota, Metazoa, Chordata, Mammalia, Perissodactyla, Rhinocerotidae.
CAAUUUAUUGGCUACACAUUUGCUGUGCGGGGCCGGGUGGGGCGGUGUUCUGAGAAGAUCCAUCAGGAGUGUACCUAUGGAGGGUGUAUGGGUGUGCACAGGCGAUUAUCCAGGGUUGUAAGUGUGUGGGGCUGUGCUGGAGGGAUGUGUAUGUCUACAGGUGUGAGUUGGCCCAAGUGCGAAUCUGUGUGUGUUUGUGACUGUGUGUGUGUG